This 524-nucleotide ribosomal RNA is filed under the name Salmonella enterica subsp. enterica serovar Newport. RNAcentral describes it as "partial 23S ribosomal RNA". It matches the Rfam family "Bacterial large subunit ribosomal RNA", at positions 161 to 724 of the family's 2925-position model. Lineage: Bacteria; Pseudomonadati; Pseudomonadota; Gammaproteobacteria; Enterobacterales; Enterobacteriaceae. The record is from RNAcentral.
AAUCCAUAGGUUAAUGAGGCGAACCGGGGGAACUGAAACAUCUAAGUACCCCGAGGAAAAGAAAUCAACCGAGAUUCCCCCAGUAGCGGCGAGCGAACGGGGAGGAGCCCAGAGCCUGAAUCAGCAUGUGUGUUAGUGGAAGCGUCUGGAAAGGCGCGCGAUACAGGGUGACAGCCCCGUACACAAAAGCGCAUGUGCUGUGAGCUCGAUGAGUAGGGCGGGACACGUGGUAUCCUGUCUGAAUAUGGGGGGACCAUCCUCCAAGGCUAAAUACUCCUGACUGACCGAUAGUGAACCAGUACCGUGAGGGAAAGGCGAAAAGAACCCCGGCGAGGGGAGUGAAAAAGAACCUGAAACCGUGUACGUACAAGCAGUGGGAGCACAGGUUUACCUGUGUGACUGCGUACCUUUUGUAUAAUGGGUCAGCGACUUAUAUUCUGUAGCAAGGUUAACCGUAUAGGGGAGCCGUAGGGAAACCGAGUCUUAACCGGGCGUUAAGUUGCAGGGUAUAGACCCGAAACCCG